GACGAACGCUGGCGGUGUGCUUAACACAUGCAAGUCGAACGGUAAGGCCCUUUCGGGGGUCCACGAGUGGCGAACGGGUGAGUAACACGUGAGUAACCUGCCCUCAUCUCUGGGAUAACAGUCGGAAACGGUUGCUAAUACUGGAUAUGAGCUUGCAAGGCAUCUUGUGGGUUGGAAAGAUUUUUUUGGUUGGGGAUGGACUCGCGGCCUAUCAGCUUGUUGGUGAGGUAGUGGCUCACCAAGGCUUCGACGGGUAGCCGGCCUGAGAGGGCGACCGGCCACAUUGGGACUGAGAUACGGCCCAAACGCCGACGGGAGGCAGCAGUGGGGAAGAUUGCACAAUGGACGGAAGUCUGAUGCAGCAACGCCGCGUGCGGGAUGACGGCCUUCGGGUUGUAAACCGCUUUCAAUUGUGACGAAGCUUUUUGUGACGGUAGCAGUAGAAGAAGCACCGGCUAACUACGUG
This 466-nucleotide ribosomal RNA is filed under the name uncultured bacterium. Its description in RNAcentral is "partial 16S ribosomal RNA". It matches the Rfam family "Bacterial small subunit ribosomal RNA", at positions 28 to 507 of the family's 1533-position model. The record is from RNAcentral.